AUCUCAGUUGCUCAACAAACUCAAUGCAGCAGGCACAAAACCUUUUUUUAUUUGUGAAGAACUAAGCUAAACUAAACCUUGACUUAGACUAAAAAUUUAUUUUGACAUUUGACUGUCAAUUUAAAGCUGUGAAAUUACUUUUGCGAUUGUGACAGACUAAUAUUUUAUCAGGAUAAGGAUUUUGUAAUUUGGGAGUGAACUGUGAAGUUUAUAUAUAUAUAUUGUUUGAGAAGAGUCCUAUUUCAAGGCUUCAAGACAGCAACUGUUUAGAUUUAAAUACUAAUCAAAGAAGUUUCCAGCAGCAUUACAGCAUUUUUCAUCUGAAUAACGUAUUUUACUGUAACAUUUGCAGAAGGACAUGGCCAAGCCUACGGUCAGGAUGUCGUCCCACCGACCGAUGGAACUGUGGGUGGGAUUCGUGAACCACGUGCCCUUGGUGGGCACUUCUGCCAACAUGGUGGACGGCUUCAUUGCUCUGCUCCAGGGAGACCGAAGGGCGGCGGAGGCCAAGGGCUAUAAGGGCUUUCUAGAUUCAGCUGGAAUCCAUCAACUGAAGCCAGGGUCCAUCCUUCAGAACCACAAAAGCCAGACAGUAAUCGGGUGCAGCGCCAAAGUAUCCAAAGACAUAAACGACUACAUUAUACAGGCGAUUAAACCAGGGGGGAGCGCCGCCGUCACAGCAGCUAAGGCAGCCAAGUCAGGUGCCGAUUUACGCACACGCCUUACCGCGUCUUUCGAGGUACUCAGGGGUAAACUGAGAGAACGUGGUAUAGACCUGGCCAGAGAUGUGAUCCAGGCCGGAAGGGCUAGCCGGGGAGAACACGUUUUCAACAACGCCCUGCUGGGGCUAUAUGGGUCCAUAAUCGAUGCGUUCAUUCAAAGUCACGUCACAGGCGAUGACAGAGUGACGCUGGUUGGCCGUAUUCCGAACAGCCGGGUUAGUGACGCCUUUCAAGGGCACGCCCCAAACGGUGAUCACAUCAACCUGACCGCUGAUCAGAGACGAAACAUUACCACCUGGGUGGUACACAUUCCUGACAAUGUGGUAUAUGUGCCAAUCAACAAUAUCCUGUUUGCAUACAUGACAGAAACCAUCAGGGUCAAUGCUGUUGACUACAUGCAUUUGUUUCGUCUGCAGCAAAAUAAUGAAAACGUGUUGCAUAUUCUUGGUGGCACGGUAGAUUGGAUUAAUACGCAUCGCGUUUAUCUGGACCCACAGGCUGCGGAAAUAUGGUUUACUGAAAACCCAAAUCUCAUUCCUCAGUUUCACACAACUGAAGAUGGAGUGCAGCUAAUGUUGAGGCACCUGGAUCCCCAGAGGUCAACCCUGUUACGUGACUUUGUGAAUGAUCUGAGACAGGCAGAUGCAACUUUUUAUUAAUGGAUGUUAGGAGUCCGCCAUCAAUUGCAGAUGCAAGUGGACCAGUUCAGAACAGAAGCCUCCUUUCUGCCUUAGUGUUAGAAUUUUGAAAUGCUUCAUGUCAGAACAGCUAAUUAUGUUGUUACAAAAUGAGUUUCUUUCAUAAGUGAUUUUUAUCAUCAAUAUAAAUAAAAGUUGUUUAUUUCAAACUCUUGAAGCUCAGUAGAUAUGUUGCUUUGCUUUCAACUUUCGGUUGUGGGAAUACGUUUACUCGGGGUACAGUGGCUUUGGCUGAAUAAUAAUAAUAAUAAUAAUAAUAAUAAUAAUAACAAUUCUGGAAAUGACCAAAAAUCAGUUCAGGAAGUUUUAUUUCCAAAUUAGUUAUUUAAAUGUAUAUUAGAGAAAAUUUGUAACCACCACAUAUGUUUCUAAUUGUAUGCUCUCUAAUAAAUCAACUUCUGUGUGAUCUAGUAAUUCUUUAAAGUGUAACCAUGCAUUAAUUUGUCACUAUAUGUUUUUCUACAAGAUGUCAGAAUGUGUUGCAGAUCCUGCUGGACAAAGUGAUGUAAUUGUUUGGGUGUUGGUGAUGUUUUGAAGAGCUUGGUUAAAUAAAUUGUUUGCAAACGAUUGUGUCCAUGGUCUCCCAUUAGAUAAAAGGGUAUCAGAUCUGUAAAAGGUUUUGAAUAUUUCCUGAUUACUAUGUACACUAUAUGACCAGAAGUAUCUGGCCACCCCUUGGUAUGGGGAUAUUUUUCAUGGUUUUGGCUAGGCCGCUCACUUCCAGUAAAGGAAGUUAUUAAUGCUACAGCUUUAGGAAAAUGGCUAACACGUCCUGAGCGUGUUCAUCUUUCAAUGGGUCAGAGAGUCGAACGUGUAGAACACAGGUGUCAAACCGUGUUCCAUCGAGGCCAGAGAGCUUGCAGGUUUUCAUUUCAACCAAGCUCUACACCAGCUCAUUUCCCUCAUUAGCUCUCCCUUUGCUUGUUAAUUAUACACUAUAUAGUGAAAUCACCCCGCCGCAGUGUUUAGUAAAAUACAAAAAAUUUUGCCCUCGAUGGAACCAGUUUGACACCACUGGUGUAGAAUGUCUUUUGUCUCUGUGGUCAACUGUUUGCCAGGUUUACCACUAGGUGGCAGCAUUAUUCACAUUGAGAUUUACUAAAGUUAGCAUUUGCCUCCUCGAAGAUGGUGGCUCUUAUUUCUCUAAAUAUUUGUCCUUUGGAUUUACUCACUGAAUAUACUGUAUCAAUAUUGUCCAUAUGAUAAAAUGAGGCUCGGCUUCAUGCAGCUUUCUGCACACUGACUUUCAGUAUAAAGUGAAAUAGUCAUUAUUAAAUAAUCUGUGUAAUUUCCAUGCUUGAUACGCACUGCACAGUCAUGCACUCACAUUGGCUAGAAAUGCUCAUGCAUUAACCCAGUGAACAUUUUUGUGGUGGAAAGUCGGUGAAACGCUGUACAGGCAUUCAAAUGGAAACCCGGAUACAUUUGGUUGAAAAGUGAUGGCUAUUCCGCAUAAGACAGCAUGAUUUCCCUUCCCUAAAAGAAUAUAGCUACAGAAUGUCAGAGCUGCAUCACCGUACCACACCUUAUUUACAGCAGAAACGGAAAAUCAGUUUUUAUGUGUGUGUUACUACUGCUGAUGAUACACUUUCAUGGUCAGAAAAGAAAGAAAAAACUUGUAUUCAGGACGGAAAUAUGCAGCCAAUCCCUCAGGCUGUUACCUUGAACUUGCUAAACCGGUUUUCUGCAUAGGUAUAAAAUGGUGCCCACUUCUGCUCCUCUCGGGUUCUCUCCACUCUCAUUUCAUGCUUUAUUCUGUUUUUUAAGCUGUCAGCUUUCUCCUCAAACUAAUGUCCAGGGAGGCUCACAACUUCAUCCUAAGGCCAGGACAUGGCCAAAUCUGAGGUCAGGAUGUCGUCCCACCCACCGGUGGAACUGUUCACAAGAUCACUGGGAUCCCACCCACAAAUAGAACCGUUGAUGGCAACCAACCCUCCGAUUGAACUGUGGGUGGGAUUCGUGAACGACGUGCCCUUGGUGGGCACUUCCGCCGACAUGGUGGACGGCUUCAUUGCGCUGCUCCAGGGAGACCUAAAGACCGCGAAGGACAAGGGCUAUGAGGACUUUCUAGAUUCAGCUGGAAUCCAUCAACUGAAGCCAGGGUCCAUCCUUCAGAAACACAAAAGCCAGACAGUAAUCGGGUGCAGCGCCAAAGUAUCCAAAGACAUAAACGACUACAUUAUACAGGCAGUACAAAAACCAGGGGCGAGCGCCGCCAUCACAGCAGCUAAGGCAGCCAAGUCAGGUGCCGAUUUACACAAAAACCUUAUUGCGUCUUUCGAGGUACUCAGGGGUAAACUGAAAGAACGUGGUAUAGACCUGGCCAGAGAUGUGAUCCAGGCCCGAAGGUCUAACCGGGGAGAACACGUUUUCAACAACGCCCUGCUGGGGCUAUAUGGGUCCAUAAUCGAUGUGUUCAUUCAAAGACACGUCACAGGCGGUGACAGAGUGACGCUGGUUGGCCGUAUUCCGAACAGCCGGGUUAGUGACGCCUUUCAAGGGCACGCCCCAGACGGUGAUCACAUCAACCUGACCGCUGAUCAGAGACGAAACAUUAGCACCUGGGUGGUACACAUUCCUGACAAUGUGGUAUAUGUGCCAAUCAACAAUAUCCUGUUUGCAUACAUGACAGAAACCAUCAGCCUCAAUGCUGUUGACUACAUGCAUUUGUUUCGUCUGCAGCAAAUUAAUGAAAACGUGUUGCAUAUUCUUGGUCGCACGGUAGAUUGGAUUAAUACGCAUCGCGUUUAUCUGGACCCACAGGCUGCGGAAAUAUGGUUUACUGAAAACCCAAAUCUCAUUCCUCAGUUUCACACAACUGAAGAUGGAGUGCAGCUAAUGUUGAGGCACCUGGAUCCCCAGAGGUCAACCCUGUUACGUGACUUUGUGAAUGACCUGAGACAGGCAGGUGCAACUUUUUAUUAAUGGAUGUUAGGAGUCCGCCAUCACUUGCAGAUGCAAGUGGACCAGUUCAGAACAGAAGCCUCCUUUCUGCCUUAGUGUUAGAAUUUUAAAAUGCUUCGUGGCUUACCUCAAAACAGCUAAUUAUGUUGUUACAAAAUGAGUUUCUUUCAUAAGUGAUUUUUAUCAUCGAUAUAAAUACAAGCUGUUUAUUUCAAACUCUUGAAGCUCAGUAGAUAUGCUGCAGUGCUUUGAACUUUCGGUUUUGGGAAUACGUUUACUCGGGGUACAGUGGCUUUGGCUGAAUAAUAAUAAUAAUAAUGACCAAAAAUCAGUUCAGGAAGUUUUAUUUCCAAAUUAGUUAUUUAGUUAUUUAUAAUGCAUAUUAGAGGAAAUUUGUAACCACCGCAUAUGUUUCUAAUUGUAUUCUCUUUAGUAAAUCAACUUCUGUGUGAUCUAGUAAUUCUUUAAAGUGUAACCAUGCUUUCAUUUGUCAGUAUAUGUUUUUCUACAAGAUGUCAGAAUGUGUUGCAGAUCCUGCUGGACAAAGUGAUGUAAUUGUUUGGGUGUUGGCGACGUCUUGAAGAGCUUGGUAAAAUAAAUUGUUUGCAAACGA
Molecule: RNA transcript, 4937 nt
Organism: Anguilla rostrata (American eel)
Lineage: Eukaryota; Metazoa; Chordata; Actinopteri; Anguilliformes; Anguillidae
Exons: 5
Source: RefSeq, a predicted model, not a curated record